GUUUGUUGGGGGCCCUAUGUGUUGGAACACCCGUACGUUUUCUGCCAGUGCUGGUGGAGGAGCAUUUUGCAAUGGUCAGAGAAUUCAUGUGAGUCAUACGGAUCAGGUGGAGCGAUCUCUUCUAGUCACAGGUUUUGGAUAUGAACAUGAUAAUCCCUGGGCUACCAAUAUGGAGUUAUUCAAGCACUUCACUGACGUUAGUAGGGGUGUCAGGAGACUUGGUGCUGCAGCAGUGGAUAUGUGCCAUGUAGCACUGGGGAUUGUAGAAGCAUACUGGGAAUAUCGUCUAAAACCAUGGGAUAUGGCUGCUGGCGUUUUGAUCGUUUGGAUGAUGGCUCCAAAAAACUUUUGGCCAGUUGAAGUGCGCCAUAUGAUCUGGGAGAAGAUAACAUCCAUCAUGGUCGCCAAGAGCAUUAUGGCGAUAGUCUCUAUGCUGAAAAAAGGGAGCAGUCUCAUUAACAUGAUUCAGGUAAUAGUGGUGUGAAUCUGGUUCAGACUUCAACAAAAAUGUGCACUGUAGACAGAGAUGAAGAAAGGAGAGAAGACGGAAUAUGAGGGAAGUCAAGAGAGCAGAACAACACAUAACUUAGAUCCCUUGGCAGUGUUAUGCAUCUCUAAUGAGAGCAGACAAGACUGGGUUUGGCAAGAACGUUGCAGCCUGCAUCAGAUGAUAGUAGAAGAAGCUGGUGGCACAGUUACUCAAAUGGACGGUGGAAAAUUUUGUGUAUUUGAUAGAUCUGUUUUGGUGUCAAAUGGUGCUCUGCAUGCCAAGCUUUUGGAGCGAAUCGGGCCUGCAACAGAGAAACUGAAAAAUGAAGGAAUUGAUUUCUCAUUAUGGUAUAAGCCAGAAAAUUAUCGCACAGACUUUUAGUGUGUCCAAGAGUUCUUUUUCUACUCUUAAGUUCUCCACAGCAAGCAGGUGCUGUCUACUCCUCUUGCAAAGGUGUUUGCCUUUCUUUUAAUUUUUUAUUCAUCCAAAUGAACCAAGUCAUGCAUAUAGAAAUUUCUUGCUUUCUUAACAUAAAGGGAAGUAGACAAUCUUCAUCUGUGUUAAGUAAUUCACAGUAUAGUUGCAAAUAAUGAGUUCUGUUCUUUCCUUUCAUUUCUCA
Carica papaya (papaya) is the source of this 1109-nucleotide non-coding RNA. The record is from RefSeq and is a predicted model, not a curated record. Lineage: Eukaryota; Viridiplantae; Streptophyta; Magnoliopsida; Brassicales; Caricaceae.